Molecule: long non-coding RNA, 292 nt
Filed under: Homo sapiens (human)
Lineage: Eukaryota; Metazoa; Chordata; Mammalia; Primates; Hominidae
Description: non-protein coding lnc-SPATA6-7:1
Source: RNAcentral
AUGCAAACAAGCUCAGGGGCAGAGCCUGACCUUGAAUUCUACCUCUGUUACUGCGGAGCAGAAACUUCUGACUCUACAAAACUCUCUGACAUUUCUUCAGCUCCAGUAUAACUCAAAAGAAGAUCUAAAUUUCUUACUGAGCAUAAUGUCAAAAAUCAAUCUCUUUCCCUCUCUCCCUCCCUUCCUCCCUCUUUUUCCUCACCCAUGUCCCACUCUGUGACUACACACACCACCCCGCAGGUUCACAUACAUUCUUGUGACUCUCCUUAGGUUGGGGGACAUAGUUAUUAUC